Molecule: long non-coding RNA, 1254 nt
Filed under: Cricetulus griseus (Chinese hamster)
Lineage: Eukaryota; Metazoa; Chordata; Mammalia; Rodentia; Cricetidae
Description: lncRNA (ENSCGRG00015038948.1)
Source: RNAcentral
GCAGAAUUUUCAGUAAUAAGAGAAUUGGUUUUCAUGUGUUAUUUUAUAUGGUUUUAAAUAUAGUCAGAAUAAUCUUAGUUGCCUAACAAAAGUAAUUUUACAGUUGUAUUUGCUUAAUUCUUCAUCCAGAGAAGUCAAGCUCAUUUGCAUGCUCUAGUGCUACAAUAAAAUAAUUUAUGAUUAAUCUUUUUCUUACUAAUAAUUAGAAACUUUUGAAUGAAAUUACAUAUUUUUUCUCUUGGUUUGGCUAAAGUACUAAAUUUAAAAGUUUUUAAGACAGAAUAAUUUUUGGUUACACCAGGAAUUCUCAGCCUCUUUAGAAAUAGCCCUGAAUUUAAAAAAAAAAAAAAAAAAGAAUCCACGAAUUCCUGGCUUACUCCCCGAAUAGAUUGCCGUACUUACCAGGAAAAGAGACCAAAGGGCCCUCUUUAUUUAAUGGGUGAGUGACCUUGAAGGAUUAGGUAGAAAGGAGGGUGCAAUAAAAUUAACAUUUUUGGCAAAUACUUGGCUACCGGCCCCAGUCUGCUUUAUCCCCCACCUUCUUUCCUGGGCUCAGCAGACAGGACCGAAGAGAAAAGCAAAUGGGGAUACCCUCCUGCCUGGGGCAGGUGAGCCACCCAAAGUGAGUGUCCUUCCCCACUUAAGCUGAAGCAUAGGCUAGAGUUACACAAGUGAAUUCAAAACUAGAAGCUUAUGGGUAGCAGUGAGCCAGCUGUGGACAGUGUUUAUUUGGCUCAUCAUUUGGCAAAGGUUGAGAAUCCCUGGUUGAGACUAAUUAAGUAGAAAGAGGCUUAAAAAGUCUUACAUAAUAUUAAACCCUUUCCUGCCUAGGAAGAAAAUGCUGCCCCUGUGCUAGAUAGACAGCGGUUCAGAAGAUCCAGUGUAAACUGAGCUCGGUUAAAUUCCCCAGCUGGCUUCCUCACCACAUAUAAGGGGGUGAAGAAGACACGGCCACCACUCUAGUCCUGCCAUGCAAUCAGCCAGAGAAGAAAUGUGUCAUCCACCUUAACCAGAUCUCUCUGUUCUCUGUAACUGUAGGGUUUAAGUUAGUUUUUUUUUUUUAAUGAAGUACAACUUUUAUGAGAUUUUAGGUAAAAGCCCAAUGUAUAGAUAAAAAUGUGUAAAUAAGCUAGUCUCUCCUCUCAUGUCCUGUAGCACGUUCUUGGUCAGGUAACUAAUAAAACAUUAAGAUAUUUUCAAAAUUGUCACAGUUCUGACACUUGCAAGUUGUGUUUCUUAGAACUUUUAGAAGGC